RNAcentral lists this ribosomal RNA (223 nucleotides) under uncultured bacterium. Its description in RNAcentral is "partial 16S ribosomal RNA". It matches the Rfam family "Bacterial small subunit ribosomal RNA", at positions 96 to 334 of the family's 1533-position model. The record is from RNAcentral.
UGGCGGACGGGUGAGUAACGCGUAGGGAUCUAUCCUUGGGUGGGGGACAACGGCUGGAAACGGCUGCUAAUACCGCAUGAUAACUGAGGUUUAAAGGCGCAAGUCGCCUGGGGAGGAGCCUGCGUACGAUUAGCUAGUUGGUGGGGUAAAGGCCUACCAAGGCUGUGAUCGUUAGCUGGUCUGAGAGGAUGAUCAGCCACACUGGAACUGAGACACGGUCCAG